CGCGCAGGCGGUCUUUUAAGUCAGAUGUGAAAGCCCGGGGCUUAACCCCGGAAGUGCAUCUGAAACUGGGGGACUUGAGUAUGGGAGAGGGAAGUGGAAUUCCUGGUGUAGCGGUGAAAUGCGUAGAUAUCAGGAGGAACAUCUGUGGCGAAGGCGACUUCCUGGACCAAUACUGACGCUGAGGCGCGAAGGCGUGGGGAGCAAACA
This 207-nucleotide ribosomal RNA is filed under the name uncultured bacterium. RNAcentral describes it as "partial 16S ribosomal RNA". It matches the Rfam family "Bacterial small subunit ribosomal RNA", at positions 568 to 774 of the family's 1533-position model. The record is from RNAcentral.